Molecule: ribosomal RNA, 253 nt
Filed under: uncultured bacterium
Lineage: Bacteria
Description: partial 16S ribosomal RNA
Rfam family: Bacterial small subunit ribosomal RNA
Source: RNAcentral
UACGAAGGGGGCUAGCGUUGCUCGGAAUCACUGGGCGGAAAGCGCACGUAGGCGGCUUUUUAAGUCAGGGGUGAAAUCCUGGAGCUCAACUCCAGAACUGCCUUUGAUACUGGGAAGCUUGAGUCCGGAAGAGGUGAGUGGAACUCCGAGUGUAGAGGUGAAAUUCGUAGAUAUUCGGAAGAACACCAGUGGCGAAGGCGGCUCACUGGUCCGGUACUGACGCUGAGGUGCGAAAGCGUGGGGAGCAAACAGG